AAUCAACGCUGGCGGCGUGCCUAACACAUGCAAGUCGAACGCGAAAGCCCCGCAAGGGGUUAGUAGAGUGGCAAACGGGUGAGUAACACGUGGGUGACCUGCCUUCGAGUGGGGGAUAACGUCCCGAAAGGGACGCUAAUACCGCAUGACAUCCUGCUUUUGGAGAAGCGGAGAUCAAAGCUGGGGAUCGCAAGACCUGGCGCUUGAAGAGGGGCCCGCGCCUGAUUAGCUAGUUGGNGGGUAACGCCUACCAAGGCGACGAUCAGUAUCCGGCCUGAGAGGGCGGACGGACACACUGGGACUGAGACACGGCCCAGACUCCUACGGGAGGCAGCAGUGGGGAAUUGUUCGCAAUGGGCGCAAGCCUGACGACGCAACGCCGCGUGGAGGACGAAGAUC
Molecule: ribosomal RNA, 399 nt
Filed under: uncultured bacterium
Lineage: Bacteria
Description: bacterial SSU rRNA
Rfam family: Bacterial small subunit ribosomal RNA
Source: RNAcentral